UAUGGCCAUACCACCCUGAAUGCGCCCAAUCUCGUCUGAUCUCGGAAGCUAAGCAGGGUCGGGCCUGGUUAGUACUUGGAUGGGAGAAAUAUCCUCAGCAUUGUUUUCUUUCCUGCUUUCUGAACAGGAGCCUUA
RNAcentral lists this ribosomal RNA (135 nucleotides) under Ochotona princeps (American pika). The record is from RNAcentral. Lineage: Eukaryota; Metazoa; Chordata; Mammalia; Lagomorpha; Ochotonidae.